AAGCCCCUGAAUCGAAGACUGUUAUUUAAAGUAAGUGUCUUCCCCAGCCAAGAAAAUGGCUUAAUUCAGUUUUAGAAACAUAGAGAUUCACAUGCAUUGGAAGUCAUAUGACAUAUCUUCCCUCACUUUUUAACAUUUCUCUACAAAUCAUAAAGCUCAUUGCAAUAGAGAAGUUAUCAACUAGUUGAUAACAGAAAGAGUUGGCAAUAACAGAUAGAAGGCCAACUAAUAACAAAGCCUUCAUGCUAAUGAGAACAGCAGUCGGCUUAGUAGUGUUGUGACCAGUUAGCAGCACUACCCACUCUGGGCAUGCCUGAAUCCACUUUCUUAGACUCUGAGUCCACCUUAAAAUUUGCUCCACACACCUCGCCUGAGCUGUCCACCCUCGGUACUGAUUUCAACUCAUUGCGUGGGUGUUCAUAACUCCUCAAGCCACCAGAAGAUGUGAAAAAGCACCCUUUGGGAAAUGGUGAAAAGGAUUUCCCACAGCCUUGUUUCACAAUGUCAGCAUCAUCUGAGAGAACUAGGUGGCCUUCAGAAUCAGUACCCCAGAAGAAGGGCACACAGCCAUCAACAUCAGAAGCUAGAAAGGUACUCUUAGAAGCGCAAUCAUAAAGAACGAAUGCAAACUUUCCAUGAAUAUCCUUCACAACCUGAUCUGGAGGAUAAGGACCUCUAUCCCUCAAAGUCCUGUAAGCCUCAAUAACAAUGAUCACUUCAUUUGCGGUCUUGUUUAACCCAUACUGUUGCUUAAGAUGUGCUACAUUCUCGAUGUGGCCUUGAAACAUGCAGAAAAUGUCAUCCACAACAGCAAACAACCUGGGAAGUAAAGGGUUUUGGCGUUCAGAUGAAUAAGCCAAGAAUCCAGAAGAACCAAGGUUGAUGGUAACUGAACCAGAAUGGGCAGAUGAGAAAUGCUGUGCCAAAAAACCAUCUUUGAGUGCUGAAACUGCACCAUCAUUGUUAGGACUUUGAAGGGCUUCUGGGCUUUUAGCCACAGAUUUGUCAAAUACUGCAAGCAUUUUUGGAUGAUGGAAAAAUUACAG
RNAcentral lists this unclassified non-coding RNA (1046 nucleotides) under Hevea brasiliensis (rubber tree). Lineage: Eukaryota; Viridiplantae; Streptophyta; Magnoliopsida; Malpighiales; Euphorbiaceae. The record is from RNAcentral.